AACGUCGGGUGCAAGCGUUGACCGGAUUUAUUGGGCGUAAAGAGUUCGUAGGCUGUUUGUUAAGUCUGGUGUUAAAGACUGAGGCCCAACCUCGGAAAUGCAUCGGAUACUGGCAGACUUGAGUACGGUAGAGGCGAGUGGAAGUCCCAGUGUGGCGGUGAAAUGCGUAGAUAUUGGGAAGAACACCGGUUGCGCAGGCGACUCGCUGGACCUCAACUGACGCUGAGGAACGAAAGCCAGGGGAGCGAAUGGG
Molecule: ribosomal RNA, 253 nt
Filed under: uncultured bacterium
Lineage: Bacteria
Description: partial 16S ribosomal RNA
Rfam family: Bacterial small subunit ribosomal RNA
Source: RNAcentral